CCCUACAAACGUCAAGGAAUUAGUAUCAAUGUGCUUUGUCCAGAAAGAUGGGCCUACAGGCCGGUUCCAAGUUGAUUGAUUUAUCUAGGGUCUUUGUCCUUCCGGAAAUGGUUGUGAAAGGUGCUUUUGAGCUUAUAAGUGAUGAGAGUAAAGCUGGUUGAGGUAUGGAAUAUUGGCCAACCCCCAUGUAAGAAAAAACGAUAUAUGGUGAGACCUUCAAGAUCGGGGAAAAGAACUACAACAAAAGCUCCAUUCCAAACUCUUUUGAAUCUUCAGCUCCCACAUAGCUAAAAGAAGUUGUUGAAUAUGAAGCAUGUCAUCUACUAAGACUUAGUGUGCUGGUGUAAACGCAAGUGAGGUGAAUUUCAGCUCAGGGCGCUGUUUCUCUGGAUCUGACAAACCCCAGCUUCCAUUUGAUGCUGGGUUUGAGGCCGUUGGGAUAAUUGCAGCAGUAGAGAACUCUGUCACUAACUUGGAAAUUGGUACUCCUGCUGGAAUUAUGACUUUUAGGAGUUAUGCCAAAUUUACUGGCCGGUGGAGAAAUGGAAUCUGGAAAAGUAGUUCUUGUUACUUCUGCUGCUGGAGGGACCGAGCUAUUUGCAAUCCAGUUGAAAGUGAUGAGAAAAUGAAGUGGCCUGGUCAAAUGGGAUCUUACUGCAGGCUUUGAAAGAAGUUUCCUGAUUUUUGCUUGAUGGACUCGAUCUUGCACAGGUCAGUCAGCACCUCAAAUUCACCACCACAAGAUGGAUUGAUAUAUGCUGUGGUGGGUUUCAAAUGGCCCAAGCCCCUCAAUUUGAGUACACAAGUAACACUAUGAUCUGCCACAGAAACGGUUUGCCAUUUGAUAGG
Argentina anserina (silverweed cinquefoil) is the source of this 849-nucleotide long non-coding RNA. RefSeq lists it as uncharacterized. The transcript has 10 exons. The record is from RefSeq and is a predicted model, not a curated record. NCBI's taxonomy places the organism in Eukaryota, Viridiplantae, Streptophyta, Magnoliopsida, Rosales, Rosaceae.